AAACGAGAGGUUAGUCUGAUCCGGCUGAGCGUUAGUGUCAUGGAGGUAAACGAGAGGUUAAGUCUGAUCCGGCUGAGCGUUAGUGUCAUGGAGGUAAACGAGAGGUUAAGUCUGCGCUCAUCCACCUCUGGCCUGCUGGCCCCCCUACCUCUGAGGAAGCACAGUUCCCGCUCAGCCCAGUCAAAACUGUUCGCUGCUCUGGCACCCCAAUGGUGGAACAAGCUCCCUCACGACGCCAGGACAGCGGAGUCAAUCACCACCUUCCGGAGACACCUGAAACCCCACCUCUUCAAGGAAUACCUGGGAUAGGAUAAAGUAAUCCUUCUAACCCCCCCCCCCCUUAAAAGAUUUAGAUGCACUAUUGUAAGUGGUUGUUCCACUGGAUAUUAUAAGGUGAAUGCACCAAUUUGUAAGUCGCUCUGGAUAAGAGCGUCUGCUAAAUGACUUAAAUGUAAUGUAAAUGAUCCGGC
This 470-nucleotide long non-coding RNA is filed under the name Salmo salar (Atlantic salmon). RNAcentral's name for it is "lncRNA (ENSSSAG00000121144.1)". The stretch from base 397 to 450 matches the Rfam family "UnaL2 LINE 3' element". Lineage: Eukaryota; Metazoa; Chordata; Actinopteri; Salmoniformes; Salmonidae. The record is from RNAcentral.